This is a long non-coding RNA of Lagopus muta (rock ptarmigan), 13028 nucleotides long. RefSeq lists it as uncharacterized. The transcript has 4 exons. Lineage: Eukaryota; Metazoa; Chordata; Aves; Galliformes; Phasianidae. The record is from RefSeq and is a predicted model, not a curated record.
CAUCCCGGCCCCCGGUGGGAGCUGUGGUUCCUCUGAGCGUUCGCUGUCGCGCCUCCCGCGCUCUGGCUGCCCGUCAGCCCGCCGACCCCUCGCACCUUUCGCCAUUGAUACCGCAGAUCUUCGUCUGUAUCUGAACGAAGGGUAAAAACGUGUUAACGUUCAAAACGACGCCACGAAUGUCAGUGAAGAGAGUGAGGCAGGGCGAGGAAGGGAAAGGCCUCGUGCAGAAGAUUGUACAUCGUGUAUAGCUGGGAGCAUGGCGCAGCAGGGCCGUGCUGAGGAGAGGCCUGCGCUGAGCCUGCUGCUGCCUUCUGUGGCUCUGCCACACUGUGCUGCGCAGGAGCAGGGCCAUGGCAUGUCCUGGCCUGUGUGGAAUCUGCUCCUGAGACAGCGAUGUUUUCAGUGAGUAGCUCUGCCCUGCGGGCCUGGAGUUCCAGGCUGGAAGGAAGCGUGUCGUCGGUGGCCUUCGCCUCCGUGUGAGAGCAGAUCUGGCUGUGUGCUGUGCGUCUUGCUGCUGCACAUUCAAACAAUUGGUUGAAAAAAGUGCUUUGCACUUGGAACGGGAGGUUUUUAGAAUCUUCUACAAACCACGAGGCCCUUCGGAGCGAGCGCGCUUCCUGCAGUAGAUGUUUUGCUGUGAGGGCUGUGGCGACUGCGUAUUUCAAAAAGGUGCAACAGUGAGCUGUCAAAGACUGCCUUGCUUCUUCUCCAGAGCAACCAUAGACUUUACAACUGAAAUUACUGGGAAGCUGAUGGGGAUUUGUAAUACAUGUGCUAAGGCUGCUUCUUAGGAGCAGAGAAGCCCAAACAGUGCUCACAGCGAAGGCACAGCUCCGUUCCUGCUCACCCCGAUGGCCGGGCCGUGCUGCCUGCCAAGCAGCGCGCAGCCCACUGAGGGUGUUGUGUGGAGACUGCCCUAAUGUGAGGUUUCACGUUGGAACACAGAUGGUGUGGGACACGAUAAAGCUGCUUGGAAAUAUGGAUGGAAAAUAGCAUACCUUUGCUUAUCUCUGUUUGGUUAUGUGCCUAUUUACAUCUGCAUUGCAUCUGACACAAAGCAAGAAAUAUUCAAUGUCUCUGCCUAAUGCAUUAGGAAUUACUGAGGUUUUCUGGGACCACUAAUUAAUAUAGAUUCUUUAUCUGUUGAGAACGAGGAUGAAAGUGGACUUAGCAAAAAAUGCCCUGAGGUUAGUGGUUUUGCUUUGGCUCUGUAGUGGCUGCCACACAAAAAGCUUUCAACUCUUACUGUAGUUUGCCAACUCUGCUAAGAAGAAUACGAAAUUAUAUAUGAGUGUAUAUUAAUUUAAAUAUAUAUACACUUAAAUCUGGUUUUAGAGCACUUAGGGGAAGAUGGGGAUAACUCUGACCUAAUUUCUCACUGAACUGAUUAGUAGUUCUGUACGCCUCAAAGUGAGACACAUUAAAAGGUGCCAUCUUGUUAAAGUUUCAUCUCUGGUGGUCAAGUUUCUUUGAGACAGCUGUAGUUAACCACUCAAAAAUAGAUGUGGUAGCAGUCACUAAGUAAUUUCUGAACAUUUAGGUCAGUCAUUCUCUUUUCCAGUUCUUACUGUUCAGACAGGACCUGGUGCAGGUAGUUAUCUGGUUUGAACUCACCUCAGCUUCCACUGAAGUGUGAACUUUGCCAUGAAACUCCGUGGACAGAAGUUUUCUUGAAGGCUUUCUCUAUGGUUCUUGUACAAAACAGUCUGCUUCCCCUGGCCUGAGGCAGUGUCUGCAGGACGGGGAGUUUCUGUGUGGUCGGCAUUCUGAGCUGCAGCUCGCGCUCAGGUUGGUGUCCAGGCUCACAGCCUCGCUGUGCCUCCAGGUUCCCUGUGAGUCUGGAGUGGCGGCAAGGGGCACUGAGUGAAGCAUGCUGUGAUUCCUACAGAGAGGUCAGUGCAGGGCUGACCACAGAAUUGGAGCACCUAGCCGUCCCGUGAAGCUCUUGCAUUGCCAUGGUGUAACGUGCAAGCAUUAGUUUGCUUUUUGUUUUUCACUUGCACUAGGACAUAGAGAGGAGCAAAUACAGACACUGGAUUGUCAGGUUAGAUUUCAUUUGCCCAGAAUAGCCGUGUCCAUGUAAACCCAGCACGUUCCAUAAUUCCUACUAUAACUUCUCUCCCUCCCUUUUUCGUUAUGUUAACUGUGCUUGAGUCGGGGAUUUGCUCAGCUUCAACUACCCCAUUAUAAUUAAAGCAAUACAAUUUGCCUGAGACAAGCUCUUAAUGUCAUUUGCAGUGAUUACACCUGUAUUAAAAUUACAGCACUUGCUUCAAAAUAAUUGCAAAACAAAUGAGUCAACCUUUUUCAGGAUAUUGUUUCAAAUAUCUUUUCUUCAGAUACUUUCCUUCUUUUUGAUGUACUGAUAUUGCAGGACCUCUGUUCUGCCUCAUGGCUUCAUGUUCUGCUGGGAUUCCACGACUGUGCUCUGAGCAUGAGGAGCCCCCUGCGGGGUGGCAGCCGGCUGCUGUGGGUGUAAGGCCAGUCUGUCCCUGCAGUGGGGUCUGAAAGGUGACCUUGUGGGGACCCUGUUCCUUUUGGAAUGCUACUCUUAAUGGACCUUGUUCUUUGAGAUAAAGAGUUUCUAAUGAAAGGCAACUGGAGAAUUAAACCAUUUUGUAUUUUAGGGUGAAGAAGCACUGAAAAAUCAUUCUGUACUUUUACAGUAGGAUGUCCCAGAAGUACGGACUGUUGGGAUAGUCGGUCUGAUCUUCAUGUUAUUUAUUCUAGUUGUGUACCAUUGACUUAAAGGCAGUGACCACAAAUUAUUAGUUGUUAAUGUUUAGUUACGAUGGCCACUGAGAGUCAGGUUUGGUGUUCUCAACUGAAAAGUUGUUUCCUAAUGUUUAUCUUCGUUUCCAAAGCAAACUCUUAAUUUAUACGUUGAAAAGCUGUGCCUAGAUUGUUUUUUAUAUCUGAUUUUGUCAUUGGGUUUUUUGUUGCCUUCAGUAAGAAGAGAACAUUCCAAAAGAGUUGCUGUUCUGACCAUCAAUACCAAAUGUUUUGGUAUUUCCAAACAGCAGAUUUCCACCCUAUGCAAAAUGAAUUACUGUCUGUCCCUUUCGGGAAGGCUGAGAGGCUGACAGUUCAGGUUUCUGUUUGGUUUCUGUCUAGCCUUGCCUGAGACGGGCCAUCUUUGAGCUACAGUGAGGACUUUGCCAAAAUGGAAUUUUGUAUAAGACUCCAAUCAUCUAACUAGUAGAGCUGGAGGAUGAUGUUGCAGCCGCUGGUGGAAGUGCUGGGAGCUCAGCAGCUUUGCAGGCUGCCAGAUUCUGCGUGCUGGUUCUCCGUAGAAAUGACACAGUGCAGGAUGUGAGCUCAGCCAGGAGAGCUAUCAGAUUUGUACGUGAAUAACCCCAGCAAUAAUGUUGAAUCAGGCACUUACACCGUAUGCUUGAAACAAACGCGAGAUGUGAGCAAAUGCUUUCAGCGCCUUUGAGUAUUGCUGCUAUUUAUUGUGCUCAGAUUCAGCCUGUCCUUAAACAUUUCCUCAUGACAAACAAUUCUAUCUGAGUUUAUGUAUUUAGACUGAUAGUGACAUCCAGUGGUUGAUCAAUCCAACCACAGGAGUAAUAACAGUCAUAUCAAAUGGAGCAUCUAAAAUGAUGAGGCGAUGUUGAUUUAGAUCAGGCGGAGUCUGUAGCAGAUAUAUGUCACGUCAGCCUUCUAGACUUCUGUGACCAGGAGAGACUUGGCAGCUUUUGUGCUUGUUCUUUGGGGAUGAUGGCAGUGAAAUUGCACAGUAUCUGGGGGAGGAAUUGCUUUAUAUUCGCAUGUGGUGGUGGGCAGCUUUUGGCACGAAUCAACACCUGGUUUAAAAUCUUAUUGUGUUUUUUGUUGUUACUUGAGAGCUGAAUGGUAUUUUCUGCAAGUUAAAGGAGAUCUCCAUGAUGUACCACUCACGGGGCUUUGGGACAAUAAUUCUAAUAGCAGUACUGCAUUCCAGGACCUAAUCAGGAUAUUGCAGAGAAACCUCUCACAAACAGUGCAGUGUCUCCCAGAAGUCUUCUGGUAUCAAGCGUACAAAGAGUGCAAUAGAAUAAAUGGUUGCUUCCAGCAUGAACAGAACUAAUUUUAGACGGCAGUGCUUAAUGUGCCUGUCAGCGCUUCAGAACGAAUGAUUGAAGAUAAUAAUAGAUUUGUUAUAUUGUUGCUUGUGUCCAGCCUCAGAUCUGCAGGAAAUACAGUACAUACUGCUGACAACACCCAUGCAGGACCACCCUAAUGUGUUCCGAAAGAGAUUUCCCAGUGUCUGUUUAGCACGACUAAUUGCACUGUCACAGCCGUGAACGUUCCCAGUCCUGGUUACAAUUACAAGAAGCGCUGGGUAAAUGUAUUUUGACUCGAGUGUCUCCGGGUGCACUUAGCAGUGCCUGGUGAUGUAAGGCACGCUUUGCAGCGUACUUCUUUUCUGCUAAGAGACUGCCAGUAGGCUGCACGCACAGUGGGAAAUCUGCUGGUAGGACGGGCGCGGAUGUCGGCUCUCCCCUUGCUGGGUGCCGUCCAAAGAGCACCAAAGAGUUAACAGGUCUUGUAGUUAAGUGCUUAAUUAGCAACUGGAGAGUAAAGUCAGAAGAAUUUAGUUCAUUAUUUGUCGUGGAUAGAGUCCUUUUCACUUCGCCACGUAGAGUAAUACAUUGAUAUUAAGACUGAACACACUGGCGGUUCACAGGUCAAGAUUAAUCAUCAUGACCUUGGAACAUGACUCUUCAUGAAGGAAAAGCUGAGUAAGGGAAUCUGAAACGAGAGUCCAUGCUUUUAUAUAGAGCUCAGUCUGAUCAAAUGGUGAAAAUGUAAUUGAAUGGCAAAAAUAACAUUCCUUUUCAGAGGAAGAAUUAGAGCCCGUCGGGAAGAGAAGUGAGAUACGAGUAAUUUUUCAGUGCAAGUAGCAGUAAGAAUUCAUCUCCAGCAUCACUGAGGUUGUUACCAUUUUCCUUCUACUACAGCAGUCUCUCCUGUUUCAGAUGUUCAGUAUUUUGAGAAAGAUAUAAUAGCAAAAUCUAAAAUUGCUAGUUUAUUUACUGCCAAGCAGAACACAACAUUUGUUUCUGCACAACAUCUUUGUUUACAGAAACUUUUUUUUUUAAUCUACUUAAUAUGUUUCUUAGCAAAAUGGAGCAUAACAAUAAUAAUGGGUUGCUGCAGUCACACUCGCAAUGUUAAUCAGCAAAUAAAGGAGCUUAGAGGUAAGGAGUGAGUUCUCUGUGUCUGGACUGAGCUCUGUUUGGACUUCACAGGAGAAGCAAGGCGGUUAGAAAGCUGUCUGAGCUUCGUGGCUCUUAGUCCACAGAUGUAUGUGUUAAAGCUGAAGAGGAACAGCUUUGGUUUCCCUGACAGUGGCUGUUUGGUAUUUCAUUUAUGUAAAGGAGCUGUCUUUCAGGCUCACAUUUUCUUUAUGCCCAUCAGAGCAUCCCGUGCCUCUGCCCUCCUGAUCCAAUACAGCUUCCCUUCACAAGGGGAAUUCCUCACUCACUGCUUCUGGCUGAUUUAAGGUUAUUUCAUGCUGCUUCUCAGGCCUGGCACACCAGAGAUUCUUAACCUGAUAGUUCAGAUGUUUUCUAGUUGUGAAUCUGGAAACAAUUACCUUUUAGAGUUCCAUGCAUAGCACUGGCAUGACUGUGUUCUCUUUGUGUCCCUAGUGAUGCUGUUCGCUAGUGAUGCUAUUCACAUUGUUGCACUCAGUCUUUAUAAUCAUUUCAAAAUUCUCCACUGCACAGUUUAGCCAAUAUUCACCUAUUUCCACGGGUGUAGAAGCAAUUAAAAAAAAAGGCAUUUUUGCUUACUUAGUAUUUUCCCUGCUUUGCUCUGUUCUGGAUGUUAUCCAUUAAAGCUUACACAUCCCUGCAUGGAAAACACAGGACUGCUACCAUAAAGAAUAAUUCUUUUGAGCCAUAACUUUUUCCCUAUUACCUUCCAUUUUUAUGAGCAAUGCCAAGACAAGUCAGUAUGUAAACCUCAGCACAUUUGUAGUCUCUCCUUUUUGUAUCUUAAGUUGUAUUUCAUAGCUUCCAGGCCUCAUCAUUUCAUCACAGCUUUUAUCAUGUUCACCUUCUCCUUAAUUCCUGCAGGAAACUGUUUUGUUAUUUUAAAUAUUUUCUUUGCUUUAGCAGUUAUGACCCUACAGGCUCAAAGAUUUGUGGGGAUGUUACAAAAUGCAGAAGCACAACUAUUUAAAAUGUGUUGUUAUUUCAAAACUUAGCUUAAGAGAGUCUGCAUCCUGAUUCAUGGCUUUGGAAUUGCAAGACUGUAUCUCAGCUACUUGUCAUUCUCUCAUUUAUUUUAUAUUGGUGCUCCAGCCCAGAGAAGGCAGUAGGAGGAGAUGUGCUCUCCUGGUUGCUGGCAGCCCUGGAGCAUCCCAGCCAUGCUCCCUCCAGCAGCAGGCAGGAUUUGCUCGCAGGUCCCCAAGCUGCCCCAGCACGUGGUGGAGCUGGCAGCACCUGCAUUGCCAAGGAUGAUGGUCAGGGAAGUCUCAAGCACAGCUGCAUCAACUUCAAUUUCAUUUCUUAUACCUAGAACCAUGCUUUACAGCUUGCUUUGCAGUUUUUACCCUGAUGAGUACUGCUUGAACCCACACUAGUGUUCCUAUUGUCCUUGUGUAAAUCCACUUGAUCAUUUGUGUUUGUAUUAAGGCUUGUAAUAUUGUGUUUGGAAAAGAAGCACUGGCCUUUGGCCUGUGUCAUUUGCUAGGGUUCCUCUAAGCUAUCCCUCAAGCUAUUACAGGGAUAAUGGGGUGGAACAAUUUAUUAAUCUGUCAUCUCUGAGCAAAUGAGUUGCAUUUGUUUUGAAGCCUUAAUGUAGAGGUCAUAGGUUAACCAUCCUAGAAAGUGCCUUAGGCUUUUCUUUUCAGGUAUGAAUAAACUAUAGGGUCUUGCAGACUUACCAUAUAUCAAGGAAAGGAAUGGGUAAAAUCUAUAAUUACUUUCAAAACUUUGUGAAUUUUCCAUAGGGCCAACAAUUUACUGAUGUUUUCUAUGCUGCAAUGCGUUGCACCUGCAGAGCUCUGUACAGACUUUAGAGGAGAUCCAUCCAGUGCCACAGUUAGCAGGUCCACGGUGUAUAGAGAAAAGAGCUCCAGCAGGAGGGUGAACCAUAGACUUCCCUGUUUUCUGUGAAAUGCUAGCAGUAGAGAACACCAGCAAAUUGAAAUAGUAACGGUCCAGAUAGCAGAAAGCUUAAGGUAGGUCUUUCUUUCAUUUGUCUUGUGUCUCCAAAAACCAGCUAAGAUUUUGUCUUCUGACCUUCUGUCUGCUUAGCUCCCUUUUAAUCUAGAACUGCUCCUUUCCUGAUGCCUUGUGGUAGGGCUUUCAGAGAACCGCUCAGCCGGCUUUUACCUCCUGUUGCAGUGAGGUGCUGUGAGGCAGCAGCCCGCCCAGAAGAGUGGAUUCCGUGGGGAAUUAUGCUCCCUAAUGUCUGCAGAGAGUCUCAUUUGGAGAGGUGAUUAUCCUAUAAUAGCUUCUGACCACUGGACAUUUGCCAUCCCUUGGUGGUGCUGUAGGAAUCACAGUUAACGGCACAGCAAAUUAUAUGGCAGAAUUUCACAAUCUCACUCUCUCCUUAAAACCAAAUGCCUUGUGCAGCUGGAGGCUGACACACACAGCCACACGCUCAUUUGUCACAUAGUGCAAUGUAAUUCCUGCUUUCAGAUUUGCAUUUUGGAAAAUAAAUGUAAGGAUCUCCACAUUACUUGAUAUAUAAACCUGCCUGGCUCUCACAGAGCAGCCUCAGCAAGUCAGUAACGUGCCUACAGUAUUGCUUACUCUUUUUCCGUUUGUUCUCUCUGCUGUGCCUUCAGUUUUGGUGGUUGACUUCAUUGCUAGAGUUAAAUGACAAAAAGGUGGAAUAAUAAAGGCCAAAGUUUUACCUGGAAUUGAAGGGGGGGAAGUAACAAGCCUCCAACGUGAGCCUGUAAGUAAAGAAUGUCUGAGGACUCAGUGCACUGCACACAGAUUGAUUAACUCCUGUAUACUGUUGCCUGAAUAGCAUUUAAGAUAUAUAAUGCAAAUAAGUGUGUCUUAAAUGAAGAGUACUCCCCAUCACGCUUAGGGCAGAGAAAAAGUCUUAAGUUAUUGCAGACACCACUGUUGUACUGUGGUUGAAAUAUGGCUUUCGAUUAGUAAACAGAUGGAUUUUGAUCUGCAUCACGAGCCUGAAUGAAUUGGCAAUUCUUGAAGCAAUUUGUGUUCUCAGAAUCAAACUACCAAACAGUAACAGAUGUGAGUACAUUGAGCUGUCAGGAGCUUAAUGAGGUACAACUGAGAUCAGUAACCAGUUUUAGAGAAGGGUUAAGGGGAUCCCUUUUUGAAAGCUAAUUAUUUAGGACAGCACACCUGCCAUUAGGCAGAGAAGAUACCAAAAAUCAGCCAUUGUGUUGCAAGAAUUCUCACUCUGCCACAUGUGGCUGAAGUAAUAGAUAGAGCUACAGCACAAAAUUAAUUGAGCUUUCAAAUCUGGAGAAGGUGAGAGAAAAAAGUUGAUUUAGGGUUAUUACAAACAGUGGAAAUCACUAGCACAGCAUGCCUUCCAUUGCUGCAAAGCAUUUAUUUUUAAUUCUUGAAGUUAUAAAGGCGUUUGCAGAUCGCCUUCCCUGAGUCCAUCAUCACGAAGUGCUUUGUGUGGCUGCACGGGAGGAUGCACAGUUCCAGCUCUGAGCUCCUGGGCCGUGUGGCAUCGGGCCUUCUGGAGAGGCGUGUGGCUGUGGGAAGAUCUGUCCGCGAGUCAGAACUCUCCUGACAGAAAAACGGAGUUAAAAGUUGUUCCUAAGAAAACCUUGUUUCUGCUCAGUUUGCCUCCAUCGGCGUCCAUCAGACCCACGUGUCCCCAGCACCGCACGGCCCUCAGCACUUCUGUGUGCACAGUUUUAUUCACGUCCUUCUCACCGUUCUCGAUCCCCCGCUGCUGACACGUGGACUUUUAAAACACGGGUGCCUGAAGCGGCACCAUGGCUGGCUGCCAGCGACGGCAUGGAGAGAAAAACUUCCCCGGUCUCUGCGGUGGCCACAAAGGAUUCACGUUCCUGACACCAGGGCUCCUUCCCAGGAGGGUAGGUUUAUGUCACGCUGCGUUUUUACAGAAGAUGUGACUGGAUUGUAAGUCCGCCUCCUUAGGGCCUUUGUAUCAUUUAGCAUCCUACUGGUAUCUGUUUUCCACUCUGCAGGAAGCCUGCCCCAAACUGACUGUAAAUUACCAGGCAGAAGUCUUUGAUUACUCACCAAUUAUCUCUUUUCCUUUCAACACAUAAAACGCUCUAUAUGAGAUAAUUCCUGGAAAUUCAGUGUAAAUGGUAACAUUUAAAUUAGCAUGCUGGAAAGUUGGUUGCCUGUUACUUACCUUGAACAGAAAAUUUCCCCCGUGAUUCUUUCUGUUCUAUUGUUUUCCAUGUAAACACAAACCUGGUGUGAGUGCUUGAACACACGGCUUACAUUGUGCUUCUGCUGUUCCAGCGACAAAAAAAUUCUCACUGAGCUUCUUUGGACUUUAUUGAUCACUUUAGUAAGAAGAAAACUCUCAUCAUUGCAGAGAGCUUGAGAUGGAGAGAGGGCUCUCAUUUCUUACCUUAAUCUCAGUGAAACAAACUUUUGAGUGCUUUUCUUGUUUUUGUUUUUGUUUUGUUUUGUUUUCUUGGAAAAUGCUGGGAAGCAAUAAAAUAAUUGAGAUCUACUUCAGCGUGGUGCCCAGCGCUGGCAGUGCUGCUGACCCCUGGUCCUGUGCCCUACAUGAGGGCACCUGGCUCAGCUGGGUGACGAUAUCACAGAGAUCGCAUUUCUCCAUACUUUUCAGUAUUGGAGCAAACAGUAAACAGUUCUGCACUUCUAUACUUCUACAGAACGUUCCUCCAAAAACUACUGCUGAGUUUUAAUGUAUCCUGAAGUUCCCAUCUUGUAGUGAAUAGAGGACUUUUUGGCUUUUAACUCUACGUUAUUGUACUUGUUCCUUCCCAGAGGGAAGUGUCCCACAUACGGAGUCAGACACAGAAUUAGACUCUACCUUCCCCUGUGAAAACACUGCAGAGUUUCUCUUUUAUUUUGUUCUACUUUUGUUAAACCUACACAGGGAAUUUUAACUCUCAAAAAAGUUUUACUGACUCUUCCACUCCCAAACAAGAUACAUGUAUAUACAUGUAUAUACACAGAUAGGUAAGCGAUCAGCAGCUACUUCUAUUACAGUGACUGAAAGAGCUGGAGUGCAUUCCUCUGGGUGCAUCUGGACAGGCUGACCUUGUCAUAGAAAACAAGCAGUGCAGUGCUGUGCAGUGCUGUGCUGUGCAGUGCUCUGCUAUGCUGUGCUGUGCAGUGCAGUGCUGUGCAGUGCAGUGCUGUGCAGUACUCUGUUAUGCUGUGCUGUGCAGUGCAGUGCUGUGCAGUGCUCUGCUAUGCUGUGCUGUGCAGUGCAUCCCUUGGUUUGCAGAUGACAAAACUGCAGAAUGCAGGACAGGUGUUUAUUUAAAUGAAAGGCAGCUGCAAUAAUCCAACACAAACAUCAUUUGUCACCAUCUGUCAGUUGUUUGCACGCUCACAGUGUGACUACAGCACAGGAACUCGCACGCCUCAGUUCCCUGGGCUCCAGAUCUGCAGUAACCCAGCACCAACCCUGAGCAGCCUCAGAGCCGUGUCUGUGUGUCCAUGUGUCUUUGUGUCCAUACGCAUGUUAGAGUGCUUACACAUGUGCACAUGCUCUCACCAGGCAGCUGCUUUCCACAGCAGUGAGGGCCGGGGCUUUGCUCAGCUGGGGGCAAAUCAAACCGAGGUGUACUGCAGCCCUGGGGUCCAGGCGGGCCGAGCAGCAGAGCAGGAGCAGGAGCCAGCUAAGCAGAAAUAUUGGCCUACAUUUUUUUCUCCUCCUGGUGGAAGGCAUGUGAGUUUCUAUGGCAACUUGUGUUUUCUGUUCUGUCAGGCCUACUGACUCAUUUCUGGGGGAGCUGUGCAGCUAAGGAAGAUUUUUUCUAUCUUUGCCAAGCCAAGUGGCUUCUUUUCUGCAGCCCGUUGCUCUCACCCGUCUCAUUGGCAUUUGAGUCUGGCACGGCUUUUCAGAAUCACUUUAGGGCAACAACAAAUGACAAUGAAACACUACAGCAUCUUCCUGCCCUUGGAGAUCCAUUGCAAAGCAGUUGGGCCUGCCUGCUUCAGGGGAUGCCAGCCCUACGUGCAGGCCUGCAGGGGCCAGCUGUGAGGCAUGAGCUGGUGGGAGCUCUUUGAAGGGGCACAGCUGUGCCCAGCUCUGCCCCCAGCCCUCCUCCAGCCUCAGCACGCCACAUGUCCGUAGCCAGAGGCUUCUUUUUGAACCUGCCAGUCCAUUUCACCUUUAACUGAUAUGUUUGGCCGGGAGCCUUGCUCUAACAGCUACAUCCCAAAGGGUUUCCCUCACAUGGACCAGCAUCCAUUGCUAAAAUAAUUGGUUUGUGGCAUUGUGGUGACAUCUUAAUUGCCCUGGAUCAAAUGUUCCAUGGGAACGGAUCUCCCACGAUCUUACCUGAUCACUCUGGUUUUUGUAAUUGGGAAAUUGCAUGCCAUGGACGCACAGGCUGGAUUUUUCAGGAGUGUGCAGGGAUGCUGAGUAACCACUUUUCCUUGAAAUAGUGGGAUGGGGUUUGCAGGUUUGCAUCUGCUUCUCCAGGCCCUGCAGAAAAUUGCAGCUCUGACAUCCCAGAGAACGCGGUGAACGCUCUCACCACCAGCAAUUCUUUUGAAGCUUUUUCUUUUGCCUAAUCACAAACAUAUGGUACACGUUAAGGGAGAUUAUCUGCACAAAAUGCAGCCUUCCUUUAGCUUUGCAAGGUCACAGCAGCACUGCAGUUAAGCGGUAAACAGAAGGAAAACGUUCAGGCAGCAUGACCUUGGUCAAUCGGUUAAUCUUUCUCUAUUCUAUUUUCUCAAGCAAAAUAAAAAGCUAUCCCUGCAAAGUGCUCGGAGAUCCUGGGGCGAAAGGUGCACCGUAAGCCCAGAGUAUUAAUUAUUUAAGCCCUGAUUGUCCGCUUGGUACGGGAGGGAAUAGAGAUGAAUUUACUGUCUGUUGUUGUCUGUUUGUUUAGAUAUAGCUGCUGUUUGUGUUGAUUGCAGCCCUUGGCUCGCAGUACACCAGGCAGGUUGAAGGCUGCAGGCACUGUAUGUUGCUUCUCCUUUUGGUUCAUGACACUGAGAUUUAGAAGCAACAGUGAGGCGAGCAGCAACAGAAUUACUACUACUACUAUUAGUUACUACAGGGAGUACGAACAUUUAAAAAGACUCCUGUUAGCGUUUUAUGCAGAGCUCCUUAUUAAUUACACUGCAAGGGGGAGGAGGGCUAGGAUGCAGUCAGCACUGAGCGUCAUCGUGUGCUGCCAGCCUGAUGUGUGUCCUGGGAAAUGGCACCUGCGUGUGACAGGGAGAGGAAGAGGGCUCACUUCUCUUGUUCUAUCCUGUAAUGUCAGUUCUCGAGGUUUUGUGGGGAAACCUCAUCUAAAAUUGCUCACAAAUUGGAUUUUGGUUGUUAGAUUAAGCUGCGUUGCACAGUGUAAAACAUUGAUUUUUAGAUUUUAGAACGCUGAAUAAUGUAUGUGCCCAUGGCCUGCUGAACUGGAUCGUGGCAGUGGGAGUGCUGUGGCCCUUUUCGGAGCAGCCCCAGACAAUGACUGCUUUAAGACAGAGGCAAACUUUGAGUUCUCUAGCUGUCUGGUGUCUGAUUUUAAAAGGGAGAUCUUUUCUUACGUUGUUUUAUGUUACUGAGAUUUCAUUUUAUAGUGCCUCACAAUGUGAUCCUAUCAUAAGCACAAAGGAUGCUUUUUAGAGCUGUUGUCCCUUAAAACCUGCUUACCAUCAUUCUCUUUUCACAUGGCUACAUAUUAUGGGUACACAAAUGUACAAGCAUGAGCACAUGUAGACAGAAAGGGAAAAUUGUAUUUUUAUGAUCCAUGCAGACGUUAUCAUAAAUCUAAAUAAAAUCCUUUUUCAGAACUCUAGUCAAAUUGGAUUGCUUGAGCCCUUCAGAAACUUCUAUUUUCAGACACAGAUGUUGCAGAAUGUAUUUAAAAAUAAAAUAGCAUGUUGGUACUUCAG